CUACGGGCUGCAGCAGUGGGGAAUAUUGGACAAUGGGCGCAAGCCUGAUCCAGCAAUACCGCGUGUGUGAAGAAGGCCUGCGGGUUGUAAAGCACUUUCAAUUGUGAAGAAAAGCGAGAGGUUAAUAGCCUUUUGUCUUGACGUUAACUUUAGAAGAAGCACCGGCUAACUCUGUGCCAGCAGCCGCGGUAAUACAGAGGGUGCGAGCGUUAAUCGGAAUUACUGGGCGUAAAGCGUGCGUAGGCGGUUUAGUAAGUCAGAUGUGAAAGCCCUGGGCUCAACCUGGGAACUGCAUUUGAAACUGCUGAACUAGAGUGUGGUAGAGGGAAGUGGAAUUCCGGGUGUAGCGGUGAUAUGCGUAGAUAUCCGGAGGAACACCAGUGGCGAAGGCGACUUCCUGGACCAACACUGACGCUGAGGUACGAAAGCGUGGGUAGCAAACAGGAUUAGAUACCCGUGUAGUC
RNAcentral lists this ribosomal RNA (464 nucleotides) under uncultured bacterium. RNAcentral describes it as "partial 16S ribosomal RNA". It matches the Rfam family "Bacterial small subunit ribosomal RNA", at positions 339 to 795 of the family's 1533-position model. The record is from RNAcentral.